Sander lucioperca (pikeperch) is the source of this 84-nucleotide long non-coding RNA. RefSeq lists it as uncharacterized. The record is from RefSeq and is a predicted model, not a curated record. The transcript is spliced from 3 exons. Lineage: Eukaryota; Metazoa; Chordata; Actinopteri; Perciformes; Percidae.
UGUCCCUGUACUAUUUUUAUUCAUGUGGACAUAAAUAAAUGAUUAAAAUGUGUGUGUGUGUGUGUGUAUGUUAGCCAUGGAAAA